This 420-nucleotide ribosomal RNA is filed under the name Triticum aestivum (bread wheat). Its description in RNAcentral is "partial small subunit ribosomal RNA". Lineage: Eukaryota; Viridiplantae; Streptophyta; Magnoliopsida; Poales; Poaceae. The record is from RNAcentral.
AUGGCCUCCCAACAAGGGCCACCAUCACCGUCGCCGGCACCAGUGGCCACCACCACCGCCAUUACUGCUAUCGGCGACGACGUCCUCUGUGAGAUCUUCCUCCGCCUCCCAUCCCUCCCUAGCCUCGUCCGCGCAGCCCUCGCCUGCCGCGCCUUCCUCCACGCCGUCCGAUCGUCUCCCGCCUUCCGCCGCCGCUUCCGGGCGGUCCACCCGCCCCAAAUCCUAGGAUUCUUCAACGCAGGCAUUCAUUACCUUAUUCCCCUCGACGGCCGCUACCUAGCCGCGGCCGUCGACGGCAGCGAUUUCCGCUUCAUCCGGCUCCCGAAAGACAGAGACGAGACCAGGUGGAAGAUCCUCAAUGGCUGCCGCGACACCGCUGCGGCUAUGUCUUCCUCUGCAACAAGAACACCAACCAGAUAG